CAGUCGCCGCGGUAAUACGAAGGGGGCUAGCGUUGCUCGGAAUCACUGGGCGUAAAGGGUGCGUAGGCGGGUCUUUAAGUCAGGGGUGAAAUCCUGGAGCUCAACUCCAGAACUGCCUUUGAUACUGAAGAUCUUGAGUUCGGGAGAGGUGAGUGGAACUGCGAGUGUAGAGGUGAAAUUCGUAGAUAUUCGCAAGAACACCAGUGGCGAAGGCGGCUCACUGGCCCGAUACUGACGCUGAGGCACGAAAGCGUGGGGAGCAAACAGGAUUAGAUACCCCGGUAGUCCCUGUCUCUUAUAC
Molecule: ribosomal RNA, 301 nt
Filed under: uncultured bacterium
Lineage: Bacteria
Description: partial 16S ribosomal RNA
Rfam family: Bacterial small subunit ribosomal RNA
Source: RNAcentral